Molecule: unclassified non-coding RNA, 336 nt
Filed under: soil metagenome
Description: partial contains 5.8S ribosomal RNA, internal transcribed spacer 2, and large subunit ribosomal RNA
Rfam family: 5.8S ribosomal RNA (bases 1-119)
Source: RNAcentral
GAUGAAGAACUAGCGAAAUGCGAUAAGUAGUGUGAAUUGCAGAAUUCAGUGAAUCAUCGAAUCUUUGAACGCACAUUGCGCCCCUUGGUAUUCCAUGGGGCAUGCCUGUUCGAGCGUCAUUUGUACCUUCAAGCUCUGCUUGGUGUUGGGUGUUUGUCUCGCCUCUGCGUGUAGACUCGCCUCAAAACAAUUGGCAGCCGGCGUAUUGAUUUCGGAGCGCAGUACAUCUCGCGCUUUGCACUCAUAACGACGACGUCCAAAAGUACAUUUUUACACUCUUGACCUCGGAUCAGGUAGGGAUACCCGCUGAACUUAAGCAUAUCAAUAAGCGGAGGA